CCUACGGGUGGCUGCAGUCGAGAAUCAUUCACAAUGGGGGAAACCCUGAUGGUGCGACGCCGCGUGGGGGAAUGAAGGUCUUCGGAUUGUAAACCCCUGUCAUGUGGGAGCAAAUUAAAAAGAUAGUACCACAAGAGGAAGAGACGGCUAACUCUGUGCCAGCAGCCGCGGUAAUACAGAGGUCUCAAGCGUUGUUCGGAAUCACUGGGCGUAAAGCGUGCGUAGGCUGUUUCGUAAGUCGUGUGUGAAAGGCGCGGGCUCAACCCGCGGACGGCACCUGAGACUGGGAGACUAGAGUAAGGGAGAGGGAGGCGGAAUGCUCGGUGUAGCAGUGAAAUGCGUAGAUAUCGAGAGGAACACUCGUGGCGAAGGCGGGUUCCUGGACAUUAACUGACGCUGAGGCACGAAGGCCAGGGGAGCGAAAGGGAUUAGAUACCCGAGUAGUC
Molecule: ribosomal RNA, 446 nt
Filed under: uncultured bacterium
Lineage: Bacteria
Description: partial 16S ribosomal RNA
Rfam family: Bacterial small subunit ribosomal RNA
Source: RNAcentral